AUGCCAAUUUAUCCUGUCAGCGCCGAUGAGUUUGAAGGAAUAACCCUCACGCAAACAGACAUUGAUCUGUUAGCCAGGGCUGAAAGAUUGGUAUCCGAAGACAACCAAGAAACUGAAAAAGCAGUAAAAGCAUUGCUGUGUUCUGAAACCCCACCCCCCGUGCAGGGGACAAAUUGCUGUGUAACUGAAAUUGGUGAAAUUGAGAUUGAGAGCAGACCCUCGGCACUUCAACAUGGGACUGACUCAAGUAAGCAGACGAACAAACUCUCCAGAAGACGUGUGAGACAGCCAGGAGGACCGAAGUCGACUGUACAAGAACCAUCAAAACAGAACCUUCAAACGUGCGCCUCUCUGAGCACUGUGACUCCCACGGCAGCUCCACUCUCCCGUGAACCUUCUGCCCCUGCGAGGAGACGUAGAAUACGGCAAGCGUGUACCACUCUGACCCCUGUACUUACAGCGGGACCCACGGCAGCUCCACUCUCGCUUUCACCAGAUCCUUUCGAACCUGCGAGGCCGAUAAGGAGACGUAGGAACCAGAGACACAAGUCUAACAUU
This 558-nucleotide long non-coding RNA is filed under the name Takifugu rubripes (torafugu). RNAcentral describes it as "lncRNA (ENSTRUG00000031487.1)". The record is from RNAcentral. Lineage: Eukaryota; Metazoa; Chordata; Actinopteri; Tetraodontiformes; Tetraodontidae.